Non-coding RNA from Hordeum vulgare subsp. vulgare (domesticated barley), 136 nucleotides. The record is from Rfam. NCBI's taxonomy places the organism in Eukaryota, Viridiplantae, Streptophyta, Magnoliopsida, Poales, Poaceae.
CCUAUACUCCUUCCGUGCCAAAAUUCUUGUCUUAGAUUUGUCUAGAAAUAGAUGUAUCAAAAUACUAAAACGUGACUAGAUACAUUUAUAUUUAGACAAAUCUAAGACAAGAAUUUUAGGACGGAUGGAGUAUUUU